RNAcentral lists this long non-coding RNA (1309 nucleotides) under Chinchilla lanigera (long-tailed chinchilla). RNAcentral describes it as "lncRNA (ENSCLAG00000026465.1)". The record is from RNAcentral. Lineage: Eukaryota; Metazoa; Chordata; Mammalia; Rodentia; Chinchillidae.
AAAAAUCUCAGAAUAUUGAACAAAAGAGCACCUGUCAUCACUAUAUCAGUGACCUUGACACAUGGAUCUUCAAAAAAGAAUAGUCAAAGCCCUUGAAACCUGGACACCUACAGAAGUUUUGAAGGAAGAGGUCAGCCUGCAGCCUGGUGAUUCCAGGGAGCCCUUCUUCCCACCCCACUCCUCACAGAGCAGCCCUCUCCUCAGAGACCCUGCAUCAGGACUUCUGGCCUCAGCAGUACCACAGCACCAGCUCCUCUGUGUGUGUGUCCAGUCUUCAUGAGAGUCAACGCUCUCAUUGGAUCGGUUUCCCGAGAUGUCUGACAAGGAAAGGUUAGUGGAUGAGAGGUGAAUGAUGCUGACUUUUCUUUGAUCUUCCCAGACCCAGAAGCCACUGGUGCCAUGAACUAGGAGUCCUCAACCCUUCUCCAUGUUGGGAACUAUUCCAGAGGUUCUUUACAUCAUUGGUUUGGAAGCAUCUUGGUCAUCUUCUAACACAGCUGUCACAUACAGCAAAGGUUGAGAACCAUCACACUAGAUAUUCUCUAGUUCAGAGAGGGGAUCCCAGAAAGUGCCUUGCUUUACUGAACAUCAAAUUGCCACUUUGAAGUUAACACCACCAAAACAACACUCAUGGUUUAUCCCCAGAUUCCAAAAUCUGUCUCUCAGAGUUUUCCAGCUUUGGGGAAAACUCCUGGGAGUCUUCCAGCUCAUAACCCAAAUCCUAUAUGUUAGAAAACAUUAGAAGCUUUGCCAUCUGAAUGCAUCUGGAAAGUGAUGCCUUCUUAUUCAUAACUUUGAAAAUUAUGUUGCUUGCUCACCUGUGUUAUGGCUCUGGCCUCCUAACUCAUCUGCCUACAUUUGUUUUUCUCUGCAAUCAUGUCUCAUGAAUCAGCAAGUAGAGCCCCAUAAAUUCUAAUGCAUCAUGUUUUUUCCUCUGUUCAAAACCUUCAAUAGGUUCUCAUCUUAUGAAGAGUGAAAGCCUGAGUUUUAUAUAUUCUUAUAUUACCUGCAUCCAGCAAUGUCAGGCAGAGUGGAUUCCUCUAUGGAUGAAAUCCUUUGGUUAAGAAAUUAUAACUUCAGGGUUAAACAGAAUAAGGUAAGUAUUGUGGAACUCCUGAAAAAAUAUAAGAUGCUAAGGAUAGUUAUGAAGUCUCCAAGAAGAUGUUCUAUAUAGUAUCUUCUAAACUUAGCUAAAAACAAGGGUACCAUUUGAAGGGUAGUACCAUUUUCACUUUUCCAGUGACAUCAAUGGUAACAAUCUUUACCUGCCUGUAGGAAAAGGAAUCAAACAGGUCUGACAAACUAUCAU